Molecule: unclassified non-coding RNA, 228 nt
Filed under: uncultured Agaricales
Lineage: Eukaryota; Fungi; Basidiomycota; Agaricomycetes; Agaricales
Description: sequence contains ITS2
Source: RNAcentral
CAUUCUCAACCUUUCAAGCUUAUCUCUUUUGUGGGCUUGAUUAGGCUUGGUUUCUGGAAGCUUGCUGGCUUUUGUAAAAUCAGCUCUUCUUAAAUAUAUUUGCUAGAUCAUUGUUGAAUCAUCUUUCAAUAAUAUGUAAUAAUUAUAUAUAUAUUAUUGAUUAAGUUAGUGACUAUCAAAAGAUCUGGCUUCCAAAUAUGUUUUAAAGACCACUAGUGUUUUUGAAUC